CAGGCUUAACACAUGCAAGUCGAGGGGCAGCAUUUCAGUUUGCUUGCAAACUGGAGAUGGCGACCGGCGCACGGGUGAGUAACACGUAUCCAACCUGCCGAUAACUCGGGGAUAGCCUUUCGAAAGAAAGAUUAAUACCCGAUGGUAUAAUCAGACCGCAUGGUCUUGUUAUUAAAGAAUUUCGGUUAUCGAUGGGGAUGCGUUCCAUUAGGCAGUUGGUGAGGUAACGGCUCACCAAACCUUCGAUGGAUAGGGGUUCUGAGAGGAAGGUCCCCCACAUUGGAACUGAGACACGGUCCAAACUCCUACGGGAGGCAGCAGUGAGGAAUAUUGGUCAAUGGGCGCAGGCCUGAACCAGCCAAGUAGCGUGAAGGAUGACUGCCCUAUGGGUUGUAAACUUCUUUUAUAUGGGAAUAAAGUUUUCCACGUGUGGAAUUUUGUAUGUACCAUAUGAAUAAGGAUCGGCUAACUCCGUGCCAGCAGCCGCGGUAAUACGGAGGAUCCGAGCGUUAUCCGGAUUUAUUGGGUUUAAAGGGAGCGUAGGUGGACAGUUAAGUCAGUUGUGAAAGUUUGCGGCUCAACCGUAAAAUUGCAGUUGAUACUGGCUGUCUUGAGUACAGUAGAGGUGGGCGGAAUUCGUGGUGUAGCGGUGAAAUGCUUAGAUAUCACGAAGAACUCCGAUUGCGAAGGCAGCUCACUGGACUGCAACUGACACUGAUGCUCGAAAGUGUGGGUAUCAAACAGGAUUAGAUACCCUGGUAGUCCACACAGUAAACGAUGAAUACUCGCUGUUUGCGAUAUACAGUAAGCGGCCAAGCGAAAGCAUUAAGUAUUCCACCUGGGGAGUACGCCGGCAACGGUGAAACUCAAAGGAAUUGACGGGGGCCCGCACAAGCGGAGGAACAUGUGGUUUAAUUCGAUGAUACGCGAGGAACCUUACCCGGGCUUAAAUUGCAUUUGAAUAUAUUGGAAACAGUAUAGCCGUAAGGCAAAUGUGAAGGUGCUGCAUGGUUGUCGUCAGCUCGUGCCGUGAGGUGUCGGCUUAAGUGCCAUAACGAGCGCAACCCUUAUCUUUAGUUACUAACAGGUCAUGCUGAGGACUCUAGAGAGACUGCCGUCGUAAGAUGUGAGGAAGGUGGGGAUGACGUCAAAUCAGCACGGCCCUUACGUCCGGGGCUACACACGUGUUACAAUGGGGGGUACAGAAGGCAGCUACCUGGUGACAGGAUGCUAAUCCCAAAAGCCUCUCUCAGUUCGGAUCGAAGUCUGCAACCCGACUUCGUGAAGCUGGAUUCGCUAGUAAUCGCGCAUCAGCCAUGGCGCGGUGAAUACGUUCCCGGGCCUUGUACACACCGCCCGUCAAGCCAUGAAAGCCGGGGGUACCUGAAGUACGUAACCGCAAGGAGCGUCCUAGGGUAAAACUGGUAAUUGGGGCUAAGUCA
This 1442-nucleotide ribosomal RNA is filed under the name uncultured organism. RNAcentral's name for it is "SSU rRNA". It matches the Rfam family "Bacterial small subunit ribosomal RNA". The record is from RNAcentral.